RNAcentral lists this ribosomal RNA (495 nucleotides) under uncultured bacterium. RNAcentral describes it as "partial 16S ribosomal RNA". It matches the Rfam family "Bacterial small subunit ribosomal RNA", at positions 28 to 507 of the family's 1533-position model. The record is from RNAcentral.
GACGAACGUUGGCGGCGUGCCUAAUACAUGCAAGUAGAACGCUGAAGGAGGAGCUUGCUCUUCUGGAUGAGUUGCGAACGGGUGAGUAACGCGUAGGUAACCUGCCUGGUAGCGGGGGAUAACUAUUGGAAACGAUAGCUAAUACCGCAUAAUAGUAGAUGUUGCAUGAUAUUUACUUAAAAGGUGCAAUUGCACCACUACCAGAUGGACCUGCGUUGUAUUAGCUAGUUGGUGGGGUAACGGCUCACCAAGGCGACGAUACAUAGCCGACCUGAGAGGGUGAUCGGCCACACUGGGACUGAGACACGGCCCAGACUCCUACGGGAGGCAGCAGUAGGGAAUCUUCGGCAAUGGACGAAAGUCUGACCGAGCAACGCCGCGUGAGUGAAGAAGGUUUUCGGAUCGUAAAGCUCUGUUGUAAGAGAAGAACGAGUGUGAGAGUGGAAAGUUCACACUGUGACGGUAUCUUACCAGAAAGGGACGGCUAACUACGUG